UUGGAGGGCAAGUCUGGUGCCAGCAGCCGCGGUAAUUCCAGCUCCAAUAGCGUAUAUUAAAGUUGUUGCAGUUAAAAAGCUCGUAGUUGAAUUUCGGGAUCAAUUUAUUGGUCGUGCCAACGGUACGCACUGGUACAAUUGGUUUCUCCCUUCUGACGAAGCAUGAUGUCAUUAAUUUGAUGUCGUGGGGAAUCAGGACUGUUACUUUGAAAAAAUUAGAGUGUUUAAAGCAGGCUUUGGCUUGAAUACAUUAGCAUGGAAUAAUGAAAUAGGACGUUUGAUCUUAUUUCGUUGGUUUCUAAGAUCAACGUAAUGAUUAAUAGGGAUAGUUGGGGGCAUUAGUAUUCAAUUGUCAGAGGUGAAAUUCUUGGAUUUAUUGAAGACUAACUACUGCGAAAGCAUUUGCCAAGGAUGUUUUCAUUAAUCAAGAACGAAAGUUAGGGGAUCGAAGACGAUCAGAUACCGUUGUAGUCUUAACCAUAAACUAUGCCGACUAGGGAUCGGAUGAUGUUAAUUUUUUAAUGACUCAUUCGGCGCCUUACGGGAAAC
Molecule: ribosomal RNA, 549 nt
Filed under: uncultured Glomeromycotina
Lineage: Eukaryota; Fungi; Glomeromycota
Description: SSU rRNA
Rfam family: Eukaryotic small subunit ribosomal RNA
Source: RNAcentral